AACAACAUAACUUCGUGCAGCCAAGAAUCUCCAUUCUUGAUGCCUAUUAUAACGGUGUUAACGGAGUCUACGAGGAAGAUUUCCCUCAGAAUCCGCCUUUCCCGUUCAACUACACGAUGGAGUUCGUGCCACAGCUGCUAUGGAUACCUCAAAAUGGGACAGAAGUUAGAGUGGUGGAGUAUAAUACCUCAGUAGAGCUUGUCUUCCAAGGAACAAACAUUCUUGGUGGGACAUACCAUCCUAUGCAUCUCCAUGGGUACAGCUUCUAUGUGGUCGGAAGAGGCAACGGAAACUUUGACCGGGAAAGGGACCCUUCCAGCUAUAAUCUUGUCGAUC
This 336-nucleotide long non-coding RNA is filed under the name Salvia miltiorrhiza (redroot sage). RNAcentral describes it as "long non-coding RNA (SMIL_LNC011753)". The record is from RNAcentral. Lineage: Eukaryota; Viridiplantae; Streptophyta; Magnoliopsida; Lamiales; Lamiaceae.